GAGUUUGAUCCUGGCUCAGGACGAACGCUGGCGGCGUGCUUAACACAUGCAAGUCGAACGGAGCACCCUUGAAAGAGUUUUCGGACAAUGGAGAGGAAUGCUUAGUGGCGGACUGGUGAGUAACGCGUGAGGAACCUGCCUUCCAGAGGGGGACAACAGUUGGAAACGACUGCUAAUACCGCAUGACACAUUUGAAUCGCAUGGUUUGAAUGUCAAAGAUUUAUCGCUGGAAGAUGGCCUCGCGUCUGAUUAGCUAGUAGGCGGGGUAACGGCCCACCUAGGCGACGAUCAGUAGCCGGACUGAGAGGUUGACCGGCCACAUUGGGACUGAGAUACGGCCCAGACUCCUACGGGAGGCAGCAGUGGGGAAUAUUGGGCAAUGGGCGCAAGCCUGACCCAGCAACGCCGCGUGAAGGAAGAAGGCUUUCGGGUUGUAAACUUCUUUUAAGAGGGAAGAGCAGAAGACGGUACCUCUUGAAUAAGCCACGGCUAACUACGUGCCAGCAGCCGCGGUAAUACGUAGGUGGCAAGCGUUGUCCGGAUUUACUGGGUGUAAAGGGCGUG
RNAcentral lists this ribosomal RNA (564 nucleotides) under uncultured bacterium. Its description in RNAcentral is "bacterial SSU rRNA". It matches the Rfam family "Bacterial small subunit ribosomal RNA", at positions 9 to 571 of the family's 1533-position model. The record is from RNAcentral.